AUAAAACCAGGGUAACUUGCCUUCCCACCUCCAGACAACUCCUUCCUUUCCAGCCUUGUAAGCAAAGCUUAAUGAUGCAUGUAAUGGCAGCAAAAAAUGGCAUUACCAUGGCAAUUAAAGCAUAGUGAGGCGUAUUCACUGAGGAAAGCUGGUCAAAAGUUGCUGAUAGAAGCUCACUAAGAACAUUGAUUGUGAGAAAGAUGCAUUCUGGGGUGCUGACCUAUCAAAUAACACCCCCCCCCCAAAUAAAUAAAUAAAUAAAAUUAUAGUCAGUAAACUAGAGGCAAAUGUUCCAAGAAGUGGUAAAAUUUUAGCCUCAUAAUACUAUUUUGGUUUUAGGGUUUAGCUUACCCUCUGGGGUUGAACCAUAUCUGGGCACUAACCCAACUUGAUUAAGAAACAAAGCAAUGGCAUAGAAUCCUGCUGUUAUCGCCAUAGAUGAAUUGUUGUGGUACUUUAGCUUCAGGGAUAUCUUCUUCAUCAAUGGUAGUCGUAAUUGGUUCCAAGCUUCGAC
RNAcentral lists this long non-coding RNA (514 nucleotides) under Gossypium barbadense (sea-island cotton). Its description in RNAcentral is "long non-coding RNA (GBAR_LNC015566)". Lineage: Eukaryota; Viridiplantae; Streptophyta; Magnoliopsida; Malvales; Malvaceae. The record is from RNAcentral.